RNAcentral lists this long non-coding RNA (202 nucleotides) under Bos grunniens (domestic yak). RNAcentral's name for it is "lncRNA (ENSBGRG00000009012.1)". The record is from RNAcentral. Lineage: Eukaryota; Metazoa; Chordata; Mammalia; Artiodactyla; Bovidae.
CCUUUAUAGCUCAAUGCUUACUCCGGUGUUUCAUAACUGAAAUGAGUGGACGCGGUACUUUUAAGAACAUGGACUCCUUUAUUUGUUUUGGUUGAACAGUCUGCCUCCCAUACUGAAAAUUUUCAAGCUUUUGGACAGAACUGAACAGUGAACAAGUCUGGUGAUGAAGCUUGGACUACUUAAAGUAUCUUAGUUUCAUAGU